Non-coding RNA from Clonostachys solani, 72 nucleotides. The record is from the annotation of a GenBank genome assembly. NCBI's taxonomy places the organism in Eukaryota, Fungi, Ascomycota, Sordariomycetes, Hypocreales, Bionectriaceae.
UCCGAUAUGGUGUAACGGUUAGCACACUACGCUUUCACCGUGGAGAUCGGGGUUCGAUUCCCCGUAUCGGAG